This 56-nucleotide transfer RNA is filed under the name Psoroptes ovis (sheep scab mite). Its description in RNAcentral is "tRNA-Leu". The record is from RNAcentral. Lineage: Eukaryota; Metazoa; Arthropoda; Arachnida; Sarcoptiformes; Psoroptidae.
UUUAUUGUAAAAGCAAAAUAAUGCAUAAAAUUUAGAAUUUUAAGAUAAAAAUACAA